This 253-nucleotide ribosomal RNA is filed under the name uncultured bacterium. RNAcentral's name for it is "partial 16S ribosomal RNA". It matches the Rfam family "Bacterial small subunit ribosomal RNA", at positions 524 to 776 of the family's 1533-position model. The record is from RNAcentral.
UACGAAGGGGGCUAGCGUUGUUCGGAAUUACUGGGCGUAAAGCGCACGUAGGCGGAUUGUUAAGUCAGGGGUGAAAUCCCGGGGCUCAACCCCGGAACUGCCUUUGAUACUGGGUGUCUGGAGGUCGAGAGAGGUGAGUGGAAUUCCGAGUGUAGAGGUGAAAUUCGUAGAUAUUCGGAGGAACACCAGUGGCGAAGGCGGCUCACUGGCUCGAUACUGACGCUGAGGUGCGAAAGCGUGGGGAGCAAACAGG